AUUGAACGCUGGCGGCAUGCCUUACACAUGCAAGUCGAACGGCAGCACGGGAGCAAUCCUGGUGGCGAGUGGCGAACGGGUGAGUAAUAUAUCGGAACGUGCCCAGUCGUGGGGGAUAACGUAGCGAAAGCUACGCUAAUACCGCAUACGAUCUACGGAUGAAAGCGGGGGAUCGCAAGACCUCGCGCGAUUGGAGCGGCCGAUAUCAGAUUAGGUAGUUGGUGAGGUAAAGGCUCACCAAGCCGACGAUCUGUAGCUGGUCUGAGAGGACGACCAGCCACACUGGGACUGAGACACGGCCCAGACUCCUACGGGAGGCAGCAGUGGGGAAUUUUGGACAAUGGGCGCAAGCCUGAUCCAGCAAUGCCGCGUGCAGGAUGAAGGCCUUCGGUUGUAACUAGCUUUGUUACGGAACGAACGGUGGAGCGUCUAAUACAGUUUG
This 442-nucleotide ribosomal RNA is filed under the name uncultured bacterium. Its description in RNAcentral is "bacterial SSU rRNA". It matches the Rfam family "Bacterial small subunit ribosomal RNA", at positions 30 to 471 of the family's 1533-position model. The record is from RNAcentral.